Molecule: ribosomal RNA, 237 nt
Filed under: uncultured bacterium
Lineage: Bacteria
Description: partial 16S ribosomal RNA
Rfam family: Bacterial small subunit ribosomal RNA
Source: RNAcentral
UGAGGAACCUGCCCCGAAGACCGGGAUAACACCGGGAAACCGGUGCUAAUACCGGAUGCCCUCACCGGAUCGCAUGGUCUGGUGAGGAAAUGGAUUCCGCUUCGGGAUGGUCUCGCGGCCUAUCAGCUUGUUGGUGGGGUAAUGGCCUACCAAGGCAACGACGGGUAGCUGGUCUGAGAGGAUGUCCAGCCACACUGGGACUGAGACACGGCCCAGACUCCUACGGGAGCAGCAGGU